Molecule: ribosomal RNA, 449 nt
Filed under: uncultured bacterium
Lineage: Bacteria
Description: bacterial SSU rRNA
Rfam family: Bacterial small subunit ribosomal RNA
Source: RNAcentral
GGCCAGACUCCUACGGGAGGCAGCAGUGGGGAAUAUUGCACAAUGGGGGAAACCCUGAUGCAGCGACGCCGCGUGAGUGAAGAAGUACUUCGUUAUGUAAAGCUCUAUCAGCAGGGAAGAAAAUGACGGUACCUGAGUAAGAAGCCCCGGCUAACUACGUGCCAGCAGCCGCGGUAAUACGUAGGGGGCAAGCGUUAUCCGGAUUUACUGGGUGUAAAGGGCGUGUAGGCGGGACUGCAAGUCAGAUGUGAAAACCAUGGGCUCAACCCAUGGCCUGCAUUUGAAACUGUAGUUCUUGAGUGUUGGAGAGGCAGGCGGAAUUCCGUGCGUAGCGGUGAAAUGCGUAGAUAUACGGAGGAACACCAGUGGCGAAGGCGGCCUGCUGGACAAUAACUGACGCUGAGGCGCGAAAGCGUGGGGAGCAAACAGGAUUAGAUACCCCGGUACCU